CAGUCGCCGCGGUAAUACGGAGGGGGCUAGCGUUGUUCGGAAUUACUGGGCGUAAAGCGCACGUAGGCGGACUGGAAAGUCAGAGGUGAAAUCCCAGGGCUCAACCUUGGAACUGCCUUUGAAACUAUCAGUCUGGAGUUCGAGAGAGGUGAGUGGAAUUCCGAGUGUAGAGGUGAAAUUCGUAGAUAUUCGGAGGAACACCAGUGGCGAAGGCGGCUCACUGGCUCGAUACUGACGCUGAGGUGCGAAAGCGUGGGGAGCAAACAGGAUUAGAUACCCCGGUAGUCCCUGUCUCUUAUAC
This 301-nucleotide ribosomal RNA is filed under the name uncultured bacterium. RNAcentral describes it as "partial 16S ribosomal RNA". It matches the Rfam family "Bacterial small subunit ribosomal RNA", at positions 509 to 807 of the family's 1533-position model. The record is from RNAcentral.